Molecule: ribosomal RNA, 429 nt
Filed under: Chloroflexota bacterium
Lineage: Bacteria; Bacillati; Chloroflexota
Description: Chloroflexi bacterium partial 16S ribosomal RNA
Rfam family: Bacterial small subunit ribosomal RNA
Source: RNAcentral
UGGGGAAUAUUGCACAAUGGGCGCAAGCCUGAUGCAGCCAUGCCGCGUGUAUGAAGAAGGCCUUCGGGUUGUAAAGUACUUUCAGUCGGGAGGAAGGUGGUAAGGUUAAUAACCUCAUCGAUUGACGUUACCCGCAGAAGAAGCACCGGCUAACUCCGUGCCAGCAGCCGCGGUAAUACGGAGGGUGCAAGCGUUAAUCGGAAUUACUGGGCGUAAAGCGCACGCAGGCGGUCUGUCAAGUCGGAUGUGAAAUCCCCGGGCUCAACCUGGGAACUGCAUUCGAAACUGGCAGGCUAGAGUCUUGUAGAGGGGGGUAGAAUUCCAGGUGUAGCGGUGAAAUGCGUAGAGAUGUGGAGGAAUACCGGUGGCGAAGGCGGCCCCCUGGACAAAGACUGACGCUCAGGUGCGAAAGCGUGGGGAGCAAACAGG